AGUCGAGCGGUAGCACAGGGGAGCUUGCGGUGACGAGCGGCGGACGGGUGAGUAAUGUCUGGGAAACUGCCUGAUGGAGGGGGAUAACUACUGGAAAAAUACCGCAUAACGUCGCAAGACCAAAGAGGGGGAACCUUCGGGCCUCUUAUGUGCCCAGAUGGGCAUUAGCUAGUAGGUGGGGUAAUGGCUCACCUAGGCGACGAUCCCUAGCUGGUCUGAUGAGGAUGACCAGCCACACUGGAACUGAGACACGGGUACGGGAGGCAGCAGUGGGGAAUAUUGCACAAUGGGCGCAAGCCUGAUGCAGCCAUGCCGCGUAAGAAGGGCCUUCGGGUUGUAAAGCAUCUUUCAGCGAGGAGGAAGGUGGUGAACUUAAUACGUCUCAUCAAUUGACGUUACUCGCAGAAGAAGCACCGGCUAACUCCGUGCCAGACAGCCGCGGUAAUACGGAGGGUGCAAGCGUUAAUCGGAAUUACUGGGCCGUAAAGCGCACGCAGGCGGUUUGUUAAGUCAGAUGUGAUAAUCCCCGGGCUCAACCUGGGAACUGCAUUUGAAACUGGCAAGCUAGAGUCUCGUAGAGGGGGGUAGAAUUCCAGGUGUAGCGGUGAAAUGCGUAGAGAUCUGGAGGAAUACCGGUGGCGAAGGCGGCCCCCUGGACAAGACUGACGCUCAGGUGCGAAAGCGUGGGAGCAAACAGGAUUAGAUACCCUGGAGUCCACGCUGUAAACGAUGUCGAUUUGGAGUUGUGCCCUUGAGGCGUGGCUUCGGAGCUAACGCGUUAAAUCGACCGCCUGGGGAGUACGCCGCAAGGUUAAAACUCAAAUGAAUUGACGGGCCCGCACAAGCGGUGGAGCAUGUGGUUUAAUUCGAUGAACGCGAAGAACCUUACCUACUCUUGACAUCCAGAGAAUUUCCAGAGAUGGAUUGGUGCCUUCGGGAACUUGAGACAGGUGCUGCAUGGCUGUCGUCAGCUCGUGUUGUGAAAUGUUGGGUAAGUCCCGCAACUUUGUUGCCAGCGGUUCGGGGAACUCAAAGGAGACUGCCAUGAUAAACUGGAACGUCAAGUCAUCAUGCCCUUACGAGUAGGGCUACACACGUGUACAGCGACCUCUGCGAGAGCAAGCGGACCUCAUAGAAGUACGUCGUAGUCCGGAUUGGAGUCUGCAACUCCGACUCCAUGAAGUCGGAAUCGCUAGUAAUCGUAAGAUCAGAAUGCUACGGUGAAUACGUUCGCCGGGCCUUGUACACACCGCCCGUCACACCAUGGG
RNAcentral lists this ribosomal RNA (1268 nucleotides) under bacterium. RNAcentral describes it as "partial 16S ribosomal RNA". It matches the Rfam family "Bacterial small subunit ribosomal RNA", at positions 60 to 1408 of the family's 1533-position model. The record is from RNAcentral.